RNAcentral lists this long non-coding RNA (888 nucleotides) under Gossypium barbadense (sea-island cotton). RNAcentral describes it as "long non-coding RNA (GBAR_LNC020234)". Lineage: Eukaryota; Viridiplantae; Streptophyta; Magnoliopsida; Malvales; Malvaceae. The record is from RNAcentral.
UCAUUUAAGACCGCAGAAGAGAGGUGAACGCCGCCUCUUCCUUUCCCUUUUUCUCUGCCAUUUCAAACCCCAGGCCUUUGCCCAUUCGACUCCAACUCGUGCAGAAGAGAAGAAGGCUUCAUCGGCGCACCCACGAAGGUAAGUAUUUUUUGCGUCGCUCUGUGCAACGAUUGUUCAAAAAGGAUCUCCAAACCUUCACUCCAACUCCGAUUGCGACGGAGAGAGCAAAGAUCUGGCCACAAGGUACUUUCCUCCCCUUUUCCUUUUAUUGUGUUUCUACUCAAAUAAAGAACUCAACAAUCAUAGAAACAAAACCAAAAGAAAAAAAAGAAACCCAGAUGUGAAGCAAAAUUUCAAUCACCUUUCAAUAUUUUUUUCAAUAUUUUUCUUUGUACUGAUAUUGUGUGUAGAGGAAAAAGAACCCCUUUUACAGAUUCAAAAACGACUUUAUAUAGCCGGAUCCAGAAAAAAAUAAAUCCAAAUACAUUUUUUUUUCUCUGCCCUUUCUGUAAUUUUUUUCUCCUUUUUGCCUGCUGCUUUGUUCGUUUGUUUGUCCUUUGCAGGUGUCGUAUGAAUGCUAGCUGGGACGUGGCACGUACGGAUGUGCGCGGGCGCGCGCGUACGGAGGCUUGCGUGAGUGCAAAGUGGCUCGGCACGCACAGAGGAUGGCUUUGGUGGCUGCGGCGCUCGUGCUAGGGCUGAAUGCCUAGGGUUUCUGGCAUUUUCUUCAAAUCGGGCCAUCGUGUAUUGGGCCUGGGGUUUUGGGUAUUUUAGGCUGAAUUAGGUUUGGGUUAAUCUGUAUUGGGCCUAGAGUUUGUAAAUGGACAUUUAAAAUGGACUAUUUAUUAUUAUAUUUUUUAUAUUUUUGUUUAUUUAUUUCUGAUUUGG